RNAcentral lists this ribosomal RNA (277 nucleotides) under uncultured bacterium. RNAcentral describes it as "partial 16S ribosomal RNA". It matches the Rfam family "Bacterial small subunit ribosomal RNA", at positions 28 to 309 of the family's 1533-position model. The record is from RNAcentral.
AUUGAACGCUGGCGGCAUGCUUUACACAUGCAAGUCGGACGGGGUCCUGGGGCAACCUAGGAUUCAGUGGCGAACGGGUGAGGAAUCGACCGGAACGUAGCCGGGCGUGGGGGAUAACGCCGCGAAAGCGGUGCUAAUACCGCAUGCGCUCGAGAGAGGAAAGCGGGGGACCUUUGGGCCUCGCGCGCUCGGGGCGGCCGGUCGCCGAUUAGCUGGUUGGUGGGGUAACGGCCCACCAAGGCGACGAUCGGUAGCGGGUCUGAGAGGAUGAUCCGCC